AUUCUUUUUCUCAAUAUGUGCUGUUCGAGUGCCAAUCGUCACAGUAGAGACCUGAAAUAGCACACAAUCUCAGACACAAGAAGAACUUGCAACUUGUGGAAAGUGCAUGCGUUAAACAUACAUUCAAGCAUGGAUUACCAAUAAUGAGGUGCCAGCAAGAAAGAUUGUAGAAGAGGUUAAGUAACACUACCCCAAGGAGGGUUUCAGAUUCAAGCUACAACCCAGGGGAUAGCACUACAGAUAAUGGCAAGACAGAGGUAGAGAGAACUUUGCAUAAUGAUAAUAGAAUUUAUACUUCUAAUAAGUAGUUCAUCAAACAAGUGUUGGCAGAUGAACAACGUUUGAACAAAAGAGGUUAUUGAACAUAGUUCAUAAUGUUUAAUGACAUUAUCUGAACGUACCACAAAAACUCCCAUCAACAGAGGAGCAGCAAAAGCAAUUGCAUUUGAAAUGAACAAAUGAAACUGAGACCAGACUUUGGGAUAUUAACAAAGCAAUAUAAACUGCCUGCAUGGCAGCAAAAGGUUAUUGAAGGAACAAUCAUUUGUACCCUAUCCAAAAAAACCCAAAGACAAAGCCAUGCAGGAAUGUUUCUUGAAACCUCUAAAUGUGAGACAGAUUCUCAACUUCCAGUCAUCAUAAAAUGGCCUCCAUAGCAUAACCAAGAGUGUGCUUGUUUAGAGACAAUAAAGCCCUAAAAGAGUUCUGAAUAAAAUUGGAAGAAAAUGCCACUAACAUAGAAAUUCCAAAUUAAUAAAAUCCAAAUAUUACAAAUAAGUUUGCAAGAGACCUAAAUAGCAAUAAAAUUACAGAAAUUCUAAACUUAAAAUUAAUUCUUCCUGUACAACAUAAUGUAGGAUCCAACAUUUUAGCAAACAAUUUGG
RNAcentral lists this long non-coding RNA (884 nucleotides) under Populus tremula. Its description in RNAcentral is "long non-coding RNA (PTRE_LNC002762)". Lineage: Eukaryota; Viridiplantae; Streptophyta; Magnoliopsida; Malpighiales; Salicaceae. The record is from RNAcentral.